GGAAGUGUGCCCGAAUGCUAAAGGGCCACUUUGAUAGAGUGGAAAACAGGGGUUCAAGUCCCCUCACUUCCU
RNAcentral lists this transfer RNA (72 nucleotides) under Heteromormyrus longilateralis. Its description in RNAcentral is "Hippopotamyrus longilateralis tRNA-Ile". It matches the Rfam family "tRNA". From Rfam's summary of the family: Transfer RNA (tRNA) molecules are approximately 80 nucleotides in length. Their secondary structure includes four short double-helical elements and three loops (D, anti-codon, and T loops). The record is from RNAcentral. RNAcentral also lists the same sequence under 1 other name. Lineage: Eukaryota; Metazoa; Chordata; Actinopteri; Osteoglossiformes; Mormyridae.